Molecule: ribosomal RNA, 300 nt
Filed under: uncultured Flavobacteriaceae bacterium
Lineage: Bacteria; Pseudomonadati; Bacteroidota; Flavobacteriia; Flavobacteriales; Flavobacteriaceae
Description: bacterial SSU rRNA
Rfam family: Bacterial small subunit ribosomal RNA
Source: RNAcentral
CGCGUAUACAAUCUACCUUUUACAGGGGGAUAGCCUUUAGAAAUGAAGAUUAAUACCCCAUAGUAUCUAAUAACUGCAUGGUUUUUAGAUUAAAGUUUCGAUGGUAAAAGAUGAGUAUGCGUCCUAUUAGCUAGUUGGUAUGGUAACGGCAUACCAAGGCAACGAUAGGUAGGGGCCCUGAGAGGGGGAUCCCCCACACUGGUACUGAGACACGGACCAGACUCCUACGGGAGGCAGCAGUGAGGAAUAUUGGACAAUGGAGGCAACUCUGAUCCAGCCAUGCCGCGUGCAGGAAGACUG